CGAAAGAGUUUACGGGUUUUCCGAUGGGUCUCUCCGGGUCUGAGCCCGAUUCUGAUACCUCUCGUCUCCUCAACAGUCGCGAAA
Neltuma alba is the source of this 84-nucleotide long non-coding RNA. RefSeq lists it as uncharacterized. The transcript is spliced from 3 exons. The record is from RefSeq and is a predicted model, not a curated record. NCBI's taxonomy places the organism in Eukaryota, Viridiplantae, Streptophyta, Magnoliopsida, Fabales, Fabaceae.